UCUGGCUGUAUCUCCCUGAAUGUAUCCUAUUUUCUCUGGUCUCAGAAGCUGAGCAGGGCCGGGCCUGGUUGGUACAUGGAGGGGAGUAAGCAGGGAAAACCAAAA
This 105-nucleotide ribosomal RNA is filed under the name Meriones unguiculatus (Mongolian gerbil). Lineage: Eukaryota; Metazoa; Chordata; Mammalia; Rodentia; Muridae. The record is from RNAcentral.